GCCGGUGUAGCUCAACUGGCAGAGCAGCGCCUUUGUAAGGCGAAGGUUGGAGGUUCGAGUCCUCUCACCGGCU
This 73-nucleotide transfer RNA is filed under the name Actinomycetes bacterium. Its description in RNAcentral is "Actinobacteria bacterium tRNA-Thr". It matches the Rfam family "tRNA". Rfam says of the family: Transfer RNA (tRNA) molecules are approximately 80 nucleotides in length. Lineage: Bacteria; Bacillati; Actinomycetota; Actinomycetes. The record is from RNAcentral.